GUGCGGCGUGCUUAACACAUGCAAGUCGAACGGAAAGGCCCUGCUUUUGUGGGGUGCUCGAGUGGCGAACGGGUGAGUAACACGUGAGUAACCUGCCCUUGACUUUGGGAUAACUUCAGGAAACUGGGGCUAAUACCGGAUAGGAGCUCCUGCUGCAUGGUGGGGGUUGGAAAGUUUCGGCGGUUGGGGAUGGACUCGCGGCUUAUCAGCUUGUUGGUGGGGUAGUGGCUUACCAAGGCUUUGACGGGUAGCCGGCCUGAGAGGGUGACCGGCCACAUUGGGACUGAAAUACGGCCCAGACUCCUACGGGAGGCAGCAGUGGGGAAUAUUGCACAAUGGGCGGAAGCCUGAUGCAGCAACGCCGCGUGCGGGAUGACGGCCUUCGGGUUGUAAACCGCUUUCGCCUGUGACGAAGCGUGAGUGACGGUAAUGGGUAAAGAAGCACCGGCUAACUACGUGCCAGCAGCCGCGGUGAUACGUAGGGUGCGAGCGUUGUCCGGAUUUAUUGGGCGUAAAGGGCUCGUAGGUGGUUGAUCGCGUCGGAAGUGUAAUCUUGGGGCUUAACCCUGAGCGUGCUUUCGAUACGGGUUGACUUGAGGAAGGUAGGGGAGAAUGGAAUUCCUGGUGGAGCGGUGGAAUGCGCAGAUAUCAGGAGGAACACCAGUGGCGAAGGCGGAUCUCUGGGCCUUUCCUGACGCUGAGGAGCGAAAGCGUGCGGAGCGAACAGGCUUAGAUACCCUGGUAGUCCACGCUGUAAACGGUGGGUACUAGGUGUGGGGUCCAUUCCACAGGUUCCGUGCCGUAGCUAACGCUUUAAGUACCCCGCCUGGGGAGUACGGCCGCCAGGCUAAAACUCAAAGGAAUUGA
Molecule: ribosomal RNA, 867 nt
Filed under: uncultured organism
Description: SSU rRNA
Rfam family: Bacterial small subunit ribosomal RNA
Source: RNAcentral